Abrus precatorius (Indian licorice) is the source of this 118-nucleotide small nuclear RNA. RefSeq annotates it as U5 spliceosomal RNA. The record is from RefSeq and is a predicted model, not a curated record. The transcript has a single exon. NCBI's taxonomy places the organism in Eukaryota, Viridiplantae, Streptophyta, Magnoliopsida, Fabales, Fabaceae.
AGCUGUGUGCUGAACACAAAGCGAACUAUUCUUUCGCCUUUUACUAAAGAAUACCGUGUGUUCGUCACAUUAAACAGUAUACGCUUAUUUUUGGAGGGGCUUCUCUUCCGAGAGUCCU